This 253-nucleotide ribosomal RNA is filed under the name uncultured bacterium. RNAcentral describes it as "partial 16S ribosomal RNA". It matches the Rfam family "Bacterial small subunit ribosomal RNA", at positions 524 to 776 of the family's 1533-position model. The record is from RNAcentral.
UACGUAGGGUCCAAGCGUUAUCCGGAAUCACUGGGCGUAAAGCGUUCGUAGGCGGGUAUUUAAGUGAGAUGUGAAAGCGUGUGGCUCAACCAUAUCGUUGUGUCUCAUACUGGGUACCUGGAGGAAGGCAGAGGCAAGUGGAAUUGGCAGUGUAGCAGUGAAAUGCGUAGAGAUGUGGAGGAACACCGAUGGCGAAGGCAGCCCCCUGGGCUAACACUGACGCUCAGGCACGAAAGCGUGGGGAGCAAACAGG